UGAGUAACCUGCCCUUAACUCUGGGAUAAGCCUGGGAAAACUGGGUCUAAUACCGGAUAUGACUCCUCAUCGCAUGGUGGGGGGUGGAAAGUUUUUUCGGCUGGGGAUGGGCCCGCGGCCUAUCAGCUUGUUGGUGGGGUGAUGGCUUACCAAGGCGACGACGGGUAGCCGGCCUGAGAGGGCGACCGGCCACACUGGGACUGAGACACGGCCCAGACUCCUACGGGAGGCAG
RNAcentral lists this ribosomal RNA (233 nucleotides) under uncultured bacterium. RNAcentral describes it as "partial 16S ribosomal RNA". It matches the Rfam family "Bacterial small subunit ribosomal RNA", at positions 118 to 351 of the family's 1533-position model. The record is from RNAcentral.